This 1361-nucleotide ribosomal RNA is filed under the name Escherichia coli. Its description in RNAcentral is "partial 23S ribosomal RNA". It matches the Rfam family "Bacterial large subunit ribosomal RNA", at positions 419 to 1781 of the family's 2925-position model. The record is from RNAcentral. Lineage: Bacteria; Pseudomonadati; Pseudomonadota; Gammaproteobacteria; Enterobacterales; Enterobacteriaceae.
GGGACACGUGGUAUCCUGUCUGAAUAUGGGGGGACCAUCCUCCAAGGCUAAAUACUCCUGACUGACCGAUAGUGAACCAGUACCGUGAGGGAAAGGCGAAAAGAACCCCGGCGAGGGGAGUGAAAAAGAACCUGAAACCGUGUACGUACAAGCAGUGGGAGCACGCUUCGGCGUGUGACUGCGUACCUUUUGUAUAAUGGGUCAGCGACUUAUAUUCUGUAGCAAGGUUAACCGAAUAGGGGAGCCGAAGGGAAACCGAGUCUUAACUGGGCGUUAAGUUGCAGGGUAUAGACCCGAAACCCGGUGAUCUAGCCAUGGGCAGGUUGAAGGUUGGGUAACACUAACUGGAGGACCGAACCGACUAAUGUUGAAAAAUUAGCGGAUGACUUGUGGCUGGGGGUGAAAGGCCAAUCAAACCGGGAGAUAGCUGGUUCUCCCCGAAAGCUAUUUAGGUAGCGCCUCGUGAAUUCAUCUCCGGGGGUAGAGCACUGUUUCGGCAAGGGGGUCAUCCCGACUUACCAACCCGAUGCAAACUGCGAAUACCGGAGAAUGUUAUCACGGGAGACACACGGCGGGUGCUAACGUCCGUCGUGAAGAGGGAAACAACCCAGACCGCCAGCUAAGGUCCCAAAGUCAUGGUUAAGUGGGAAACGAUGUGGGAAGGCCCAGACAGCCAGGAUGUUGGCUUAGAAGCAGCCAUCAUUUAAAGAAAGCGUAAUAGCUCACUGGUCGAGUCGGCCUGCGCGGAAGAUGUAACGGGGCUAAACCAUGCACCGAAGCUGCGGCAGCGACGCUGAUGCGUUGUUGGGUAGGGGAGCGUUCUGUAAGCCUGCGAAGGUGUGCUGUGAGGCAUGCUGGAGGUAUCAGAAGUGCGAAUGCUGACAUAAGUAACGAUAAAGCGGGUGAAAAGCCCGCUCGCCGGAAGACCAAGGGUUCCUGUCCAACGUUAAUCGGGGCAGGGUGAGUCGACCCCUAAGGCGAGGCCGAAAGGCGUAGUCGAUGGGAAACAGGUUAAUAUUCCUGUACUUGGUGUUACUGCGAAGGGGGGACGGAGAAGGCUAUGUUGGCCGGGCGACGGUUGUCCCGGUUUAAGCGUGUAGGCUGGUUUUCCAGGCAAAUCCGGAAAAUCAAGGCUGAGGCGUGAUGACGAGGCACUACGGUGCUGAAGCAACAAAUGCCCUGCUUCCAGGAAAAGCCUCUAAGCAUCAGGUAACAUCAAAUCGUACCCCAAACCGACACAGGUGGUCAGGUAGAGAAUACCAAGGCGCUUGAGAGAACUCGGGUGAAGGAACUAGGCAAAAUGGUGCCGUAACUUCGGGAGAAGGCACGCUGAUAUGUAGGUGAGGUCCCUCGCGGAUGGA